AAACUUAUCCAUCAGUGCCAUGAUCUUCUUCUUUUACUAAUAUAUAUAAAACCAAUCGUGUGCUUCGGAUACUUCGAAGAAAACCCAAUAUUGCCAUCAGGGUUUUCUUUACAAGGUAGAUAGAUAUCUUUUGUGGGCAUGAAGAACUGAACCUUUUUCUGUGAUUUAGUUCGAUCUGCUGCAAAAGAAAGAAAUAUGGGUAUCAUGCCUAAGCAUCUGUUUCUUUUGCUGCUGCUUCUACUGGUUGUUUCUACGUUCCAGAAACCAGGAGUACUUACAGAAGCAAGGCUACUUUCCUCAUCAAAACCUGAUCAACAAAGAUAUUCGAAGAUUUUCUCGACGCUGGGAAUUGUUUGCAAGUGUUGUGAUGGCGAGACGGGUGAAUGCACAAGUACUCGGACGGAGUCUUGUUCCAAGCUCCAAUGCUUUCCCUGGAAACUAACUAGUCGUCACUAACUGUAGUGGUAAUUUUUGUUUUCCUGGUUUGCUAUCUGUAUAUGAUUUCCCUGAUUGAUACAUAGAUAUAAAGUACUACGGGGAAUUGAUGCAACUAUAUAUAUAUAUAUGCCAUUUCAGAUUUCGAAGUUCAGUUUUACAGCUGCAGACAGUGAUUAAUUAAUUUGAAUGAUCUGUCUGUGUUAGCAAACCGAAAGGGCCAUUGAAUUUCGUGUUGCCAUAUAUGGUUAUAGCCAGAUUAUUUAGGCAAUAUAUAUUAUUUCUCCUUUUUC
Juglans regia (Persian walnut) is the source of this 728-nucleotide long non-coding RNA. RefSeq lists it as uncharacterized. The record is from RefSeq and is a predicted model, not a curated record. NCBI's taxonomy places the organism in Eukaryota, Viridiplantae, Streptophyta, Magnoliopsida, Fagales, Juglandaceae. The transcript has 2 exons.